RNAcentral lists this long non-coding RNA (650 nucleotides) under Chinchilla lanigera (long-tailed chinchilla). RNAcentral's name for it is "lncRNA (ENSCLAG00000023543.1)". Lineage: Eukaryota; Metazoa; Chordata; Mammalia; Rodentia; Chinchillidae. The record is from RNAcentral.
GUUCGCUGGAACACGACCUUCCAAAAUUGUUCCCCCUCCGGACAGUCUUCUGUGCCCAACCAGCUCAAAUCCUGACACUUUUGGUUUUUCUCCGGUACCGGGAACCGAACUCAGGACCUUGCGCUUGCCAGGCAGGCGCUUUGCCGCUGAGCUAAAUCCCCAGCCCCUAAAUCCUGACACUUUUGGAUUCAACUUUUCCAUGAAGGCGGGCACAGACUUCUGGGAAGGGGCGGAGCUUAUAAACACGGGAAGACUGAAUUCCCUUUUACCUCACACUGAGGUAUCUUCUCCGCGCUCCUGCUGCAUGAUCCUGCUUGCCUCUCACUGGGACUCUGAAUCCUCUGUUCAAGGAUGAUGUUAAAUGUCUGCAUUGCAGAUAUCACCUAAGUUCAUUCAAGAAACAUGAAAGCACUGAAACUGCAUAGAAAAACUCCUGUGCAGCAAGGAGCACCAACCUCUCCAAAGAAGCGCUUUCAAUCUCAAGCUUAUAAAAUCAAGCCUUAAUUUUUCUUGGUUACUGUAUUUGAAAUUAAGGUACAAAACAACCAGGUUAACGGUGCCUUAGUUGUAUUUGCUGGCAUAGCCAUACUUUUUCUAUGUGGUAAUAACUAAACCAAAAGAUAAUACAUAUUUUUCCAUUUUUGUUGUUG